This 5425-nucleotide long non-coding RNA is filed under the name Olea europaea subsp. europaea. The record is from RNAcentral. Lineage: Eukaryota; Viridiplantae; Streptophyta; Magnoliopsida; Lamiales; Oleaceae.
UGGUUUAAUAGGGAGACAAUUUUUUAAUGCUUUAGCAAUAGCUAGUGAGGCAAUGGGCUAUUUACAAAGUUGGGUCCAGAGGAAUUUUUAAUAUUUUUUGCCCUGCGCCAUAAGCAAAGUAAAUAAGUCUAGAGAAUUAAAUAGUGAAUGCCUCACAAGCAUUGAAGCAUGUCUCCAGAAAUGCCACCCGAUCAGGGCCUUAAGGCGUUUUUUAUUUGCCAUGCUUUGAGAUGUUGAGAUUUUUUAAACAAUUGGAGCAUCUUCUAUGACAUGGGUCAGCAAUUGGAAAUGUCAAGAUCUGGUUUCAUUAAUGGGAAUUUCUGUUGAACAGAAUACUUAUAUUUAUGAUAUGUGGGCGGAAAAUGGGGGUUUUCUGAAUUCGGAUUAUUCAGACUAAGUCUCAUUAUUUCAGUUUUCAUUCACUCGCAUCAUUUUGCUAAUUAGUAUGCUUUAUUGCAGGCUAUUCCUGGUAGCUUAAAUACUUUUUAUUGCUUCUGAAGUUUCAUUGAUUGGAUUUGAUUUUUUCGACACUUGUUUGAUGGAUGAUGGCUAUUCCAAUGGAUGAUUACAAGGAAAAUUCAUCAAGGGAACGUGUUCAGCACCUCUUCAACAAGGUAUAUGUGUUCUUUAGUCCAAAAGAUUAUAUCUUUGUGGGUGGAAAUUGAGUUUGGCAUUCUUCAUGUGAAUGUUUGUGUCGUAUAAUGUGGCCUAGAUUACGUUUCUUUUUGUAGAACAUUGGCAAAGGGGUUACCUUCGAAAAAUCAUCCAAUUACCUCAUCGAGAUAAACGAGGCAUACAAAUGCAGAAUUAUCUUGUUUGGUUUAGUUGGCGUUUUUAAAAAGAUAUAAUUAUUAUGUUCUCUUUAAUCAAUUAUGUUUCUUUGACUGAUUUCUCAUUCCACUAUAGAAUGUUGAAUUGGAGGCCAAGCGUAGGAAAGCCGCCCAAGCCAGAAUCCCUUCUGAUCCAAAUGCAUGGCAAAAGAUGCGUGAAAACUAUGAGGCUAUUGUCCUUGAAGACCAUGCUUUUUCUGAACAAAACGACGUAGAGUAUGCUUUGUGGCAGUUGCAUUACAGGAGAAUUGAGGAAUUACGGGCACUCUUCAACGCCUCUCUAGCUUCAUCAGGACCAGCUGCACCCCCGAAUGGGGAAGUUCCUUCCCGAGCUGGACCUGAUCGACUGACCAAAAUCCGUUCCCAGCUCAAGGCGUUUCUUUCUGAGACCACUGGAUUUUAUCAUGAUUUGAUGUUGAAGAUAAGGGUAAAGUAUGGUCUACCACUGGAUAAUUUUUCCGAUGAUCCACACAAUCAAAUUUCCUCGUUAGAACAUGGAAAUAAAUUUUCUGAGAAGAAUAAGGGAUUGAUAUCCUGUCAUCGCUGUUUGAUUUAUCUGGGGGAUCUUGCACGAUACAAGGGCUUAUAUGGGGAAGGGGACUCUAAAGCUCGGGAAUUUGCAGCUGCGUCCAGUUAUUAUAUGCAAGCUUCUUCACUUUGGCCUUCUAGUGGUAAUCCACAUCACCAGGUAAACCCUUCUUGAACUUCAUAGUGGUUUUUAGUUGGCAACUUUUGUCAUUAAUUGCCUCUUCCUAUAUUUUGGAUAUGGUUGUCCUGCUUGGUUAUUAACUUGUAGUUCUCUUAAUUUUUCAGGUUGCUAUACUGGCAGGAUAUUCCAAUGAUGAACUGGGGUCUAUAUAUUGCUACUUCCGAAGCCUAGCUGUUGAGAACCCUUUCAUUACUGCAAGGGACAACUUGAUCAUCGCAUUCGAAAAGGUAACUAUUCAGUAUAUGAACAAGUACGAGGAUGUUAAGUUCAUUAAAAUUUUCACCUUUAACCUAGUAUAUAACUAUGUUCUUAUUUUUUCACUUGUUGUUAUUAUCUUUUUUACGAGUGUUAGGCUUAACUCCAUGUCUGUUCCUGAGAGUAGAGAAUAGCAUUCGUGAUUGAAAUUGGUGCUUUGUUACCUAAUAAGAACAAAACAUGAAGUAGAAAGUGCCAUUUGAUCAAGUAUUACUAUGUCACAAGGACCUCUUUUCUUGCUUCAAUUUUUCAAGAUUCUUGUUACCUUCCCAUCAACCAAUGGCACUUUUACACCAUUGUUCUCGUCAUUAAUUUUCUCUAUUUUGGCAGAAUCGUCAGAGUUAUACCCAACUUCUUGGUGAUGCUAAAGCUUUGGUGAAGGCAGCACCUUCGAGGAUGCCUGGGUACAGGAGAGGUAAAGGUGAAACUAGGACUUCUAUUAAAGAUAAUAAGGUGGAAGCAAGUUCAGCUAAGAAAAGAGCUUCUGGCGUUGCUGAUCUUUUGAAAGCCUUCAUCACACGAUUUGUUCGACUAAAUGGCAUUCUUUUCACGCGGACAAGGUCUGUUCUGAAUUUUUACACUGUUUAGUAUAUUGUGACAUUAAAAUUACAAACCAAUGAUGCUUAUACGUUUCUCAUGUUUAUCCAGCUUGGAAACUUUUGAGGAAGUCUUCUCAAUGGUUAGAAAUGAUUUGUUAGAACUUCUUUCUUCUGGGCCAGAUGAGGAGUUCAACUUUGGUUCUGAUGCUGCACUGUGUCAACUAGUAAUUGUCAGACUGAUCAUUAUUCUCAUAUUUAUUGUUCAUGAUGUGAGCAAGGAAAACAAAAACCAAUCAUAUGCUGAUAGCCUACAGCGUUCAGUCCUGCUUCAUAAUGCAUUUACUGCUACCUUCGAAUUUAUGGGUUAUGUACUUGAACGCUGCAACAAGUUGAAUGAUCCUUCAUCUAGCUUUUUAUUGCCUGGUAUCAUGGUUUUCGUAGAAUGGUUAGCCUGUAACCAUAAUGUUGCAGUAGACAGUGGUCUGGAGGAGAAGCAAGCGAAUGUUAGAUCCUUUUUUUGGAACAAUGUUAUCGCCUUCUUUAAUAAGCUCUUAUCAAGUGGAUAUGUAUAUAUUGGUGAAGAUGAAGACGAAACAUGUUUCUCCCAUGCGAGUGAGUACGAUGAAUUUGAGACUGCUAAUCGUCUUGCAUUGCCUGAAGACUUUGAAUUGAGAGGAUUCUUUCCUCUUCUUCCUGCUCAAGUUACCCUCGAUUUUUCAAGGAAGCAUAGUUUUGGAAGUGAUGGUGGCAAUAAGGAAAAGAAAGCCCGCAUUCAGAGGAUUAUUGCAGCUGGAAAGGCUCUCGCAAAUGUGGUCCAGAUUGGGAAGGAGGGAAUAUAUUUUGACACGAAGUUGAAGAAAUUCUUGAUCGGUGUUGAACCCCAAAUUUCUGUUGAUUAUCCACUCACCAGCCCUUUAGAAGAUCCCAAAAUAAAUGGUAAUUCGCUAGAAAAUUCUGUUGAGGGCCAAGUGGUUCUAGCUGCUAGGCCCAAGCUGGAGGUUGAUGCUGAAGGAGAGGAAGACGACGAGGUUAUUGUCUUCAGGCCAUCUAAGACUGAGAAGCAUGUGAGUGACUUCGCAUCAAAGUUAACUUCUUCAGAGGUUCUUGCUUCCACUGUUGGUGAUGGAAGGGUUCAUUGUGGGAAUCAGAAUGGGUCUGUUUCUGUUGGAGAUGAGAGUUUCCUCUUACAGGGUGCUCCAAGCACUGGACGAUCUAUAGCUGUUGCUAACUGCACUUCUCAGUAUAUGCUACCAGUCCAACCCAGCUUUUCAAAGUACUUGGUAGAACAAGCUCCAACCCUGAAUGGCUUGUCCCACUUGAGUUUGAUGGAAAAUGGAUCUUUUAUGAAACCUGCUCUGCAAGAUCAAUUGGGAGUGUCCCAGCCUGCUGCUUCUGCUGUUCCCUACCCUCGGUUUGUCAACACUGAUUCUGGACAUAAUUAUCCUGUUCAGAUUUCACAAACUGCUGUAACAUCUAAAUUUGAUUCCAUUAUGUACCCCAGAGCAGCUACUGAUGGCCCGUUUGUCAAACCAUCACCAGCCAUAUCAGCAGGCAUAAAAAAGAAUCCUGUGAAUCAACCUGUUCGGCAUUUUGGGCCCCCACCUGGCUUUGGUUCCACUCCUUCUAAAACUGUGGAUGAGUCAUUGAACAGCAUGACAUUGAAAAAUGAAAAUCAUUUAACCCCUCAAAUGGACGAACAUAGCUGGCUAGAUGGAUAUGAGUUAUCUUCAAAUCAAAGUGCUGGAUUUAACAAGUCCAUUAAUCAUGUGGGACCAAAAUUCCCUUCUGCGAGCAAGAACAGUGGUUCAAUGGGAAUGACAAGCUUCCCUUUCCCUGGGAAGCAAGUCUCUGUGAUGCAAGUCCAGAGUCAAAACCAGAAAAGCUGGCUCGACUAUCAGUUGCCAGAGCAUUUGAUGCAGUACCAGGAGCAGCAGCAACAAUUUCAUGGAGGAAAUCAACAUUAUGUCAGGUCAAAGAAGUAUCAAGGACAAUCUCCUUUGGAAAGUCACUUCUUUGUGUGAGAUGAUUAGGGGAGCAUAGAUGGUAAGGUGUAUUCUGCCUCUUUAGUUUUUAGUCUUCAAAUCAUUAUUUUCUUCCUUCCCUCUCUAUAGAUGGGGGGCAGUUUCCUACUAUCUUGAAAUUGACUUUAUGUUGAGAUGCUCCACUUGAAUUUCUACCACAUCAAAUUUUCUUAACGUAUUAAGGUUUGAACAGUUUGACGCGACAAAUAUCCAUGGCUGGGUUGCUAUCAUUUCCACCAUUGCUUUUGCUGAAUCUUCCGUGUUGAGUUUUUGUUGGAGCAUGGUAGUAGUUGGAGUGUUGAAGGCACCUGAUUUUGAACAGGUUUCUCUCUGUCAAUUGACUUUUUCUUUUAAGAUGUUAGUUUUUCCUUUCAAAUUACGUAAAAUAAUCAAAACGUCUGACACAGUAGCCUUUUAUUUUGAUUUUAUACUGACUGAAUGUGUUUGUUCUUCUGAGUGUUAGUUUCUUCCUUUUGGCAUAUUUCUCUUUUUCCUUUUCUCAACUGUGGUUUUCAGCUCGAGGAAAAUGGUUUUUUUCAUGUGAAAGUGAUUUUGCAAUCUUUGGCCUUGCUGUUUGAGCAUCGCUUGCAUUUAACUUUUUCCCCCCUUGGUUCUCUCUAUUUUUAGCUCCUAAUGAAUGCAUAUAUGACCAUUUAGGGUCCUUUUGAUUGAGAGUUCCAACAUCUUUUUCUCUUUUACUUUUGGUUCGAUUGAAGAGAGGACAAACUGGGUCUGCCUAACUGUACUUUGCCCCCAUUUUCUUUUUUCACUGGUCUAGACGAGUUGUUUGGUAGAAGGGGUGUUGCCUUUGGUUACCAAUUUAUUAGUACCUUCUCUAUCUCGUGUUUUAUUUUUGCGAUAAAAUCUUGCUCCGAGUACCUUAUGUGUGCUUGUGUAUGUUUCUUGCAAGAUGAAUGAUAACUACCUUCACCAUUAGCCUUACAAGAGAAAGUGCUCAUUUUAUCCCUUAAAUAGCAACUAUCUCUAUAUUUGUCUUACCUUCCCCAACAUCCUUCAAUCAGAUGAAGAACUUGACUUCCUACAAUGCGAUCUGUUUAAUGAUGUAGAUAU